Molecule: ribosomal RNA, 433 nt
Filed under: uncultured bacterium
Lineage: Bacteria
Description: partial 16S ribosomal RNA
Rfam family: Bacterial small subunit ribosomal RNA
Source: RNAcentral
GACGAACGCUGGCGGCGUGCCUAACACAUGCAAGUCGAACGAGACCUUCGGGUCUAGUGGCGCACGGGUGCGUAACGCGUGGGAACCUGCCCUUAGGUUCCGUAUAACUCCCCGAAAGGGAUGCUAAUAACGCUUAAGCUCUUCGGACCAAGGAUUUAUCGCCUUUGGGUGGGCGCGCGUUGGAUUAGCCAGUUGGUAGGGUAAAAGCAUACCAACGCGACGAUCCAUGGCUGGUCGGGGAGCAGGCUCAGCCACGCUGGCACUGAGACACGGCCCAGUCUCCGACGGGGGGCAGGAGUAGAGAAUAUUAGGGGAGGAGCGAAAACGUGGUCCAGCAGUGCCGGGGGAGUGAGGAUGCCCUUAGUGUUGCAAAGCUCUUUUACCCGAGAUGAUAGUGACAGUACCGGGAGAAUAAGCUCCGGCUAACUCCGUG